CCAAAGCGAAAAACCAACUGAAAUACACCAAACCCAAAAUCUCAUAAUAUCUACAAAUAGGAACUCACUCAGUUAAUCUAAGAAGAGGAAAAUGGAUUUCAGGUUAAUGGGUAUCGACACACCAUUCUUUCACACUCUUCGACACACCAUUCUUUCACACUCUUCAGCACCUUAUGGACGCCGCCGGUGAAGAUUCCGACAAGUCCGUGAACGCCCCAUCGAGGAACUAUGUACGUGACGCUAAGGCAAUGGCUGCAACACCAGCCGACGUGAAGGAAUACCCAAAUUCCUACGUUUUCGUUGUGGACAUGCCAGGGUUGAAAUCUGGAGAUAUUGAGGUGCAAGUGGAAGACGACAAUGUGCUGCUGAUAAGUGGAGAAAGGAAGAGAGAAGAAGAGAAAGAAGGGGCUAAGUGUAUCAGAAUGGAGAGAAGGAUUGGAAAAUUCAUGAGGAAAUUUACUCUGCCGGAGAAUGCGAAUACCGAUGCGAUUUCUGCUGUUUGUCAAGAUGGAGUUUUGACUGUGACUGUCCAGAAGUUGCCUCCACCUGAGCCUAAGAAACUCAAAACUAUCGAGGUUAAAAUUGGAUAAGAUUUUGUUACUCUGUUUUGUGGUUACAAAAGUGCUCUGUUUUGAUGCUUGGUGGUAUGACGUAAUAAAGAUGGUAGAGAUCUAAGAGUGGUUUUUCUCUCUCUGUCUUCUUUAUAUUUUCUAUGUUUUAUGGAAUAUGAUGAAACUAAAUGUGUAGGUCUUCUAUCUCUUGUUUAAAAUGCAAGUGAAAUGCUACUAGUGUCCCGUUUUUUUUUUCUUCGAUGUAUUGCCUUCAAUAUAUAGAGUGCAAUUUCUUACAAAAUAAAGAAGUGCAAAACUUUUCA
Nicotiana attenuata is the source of this 874-nucleotide RNA transcript. It is a transcript of the gene named 17.3 kDa class II heat shock protein-like, with no coding region annotated. Lineage: Eukaryota; Viridiplantae; Streptophyta; Magnoliopsida; Solanales; Solanaceae. The record is from RefSeq and is a predicted model, not a curated record. The transcript has a single exon.